Long non-coding RNA from Lates calcarifer (barramundi perch), 936 nucleotides. RefSeq lists it as uncharacterized. NCBI's taxonomy places the organism in Eukaryota, Metazoa, Chordata, Actinopteri, Centropomidae. The record is from RefSeq and is a predicted model, not a curated record. The transcript has 2 exons.
GGCGGCCCCGACAGAGCCUUCAUUCUGGGAAUUCACCGCCUCGACAUUAAAGAUAAUAGGAAUGCACGCAGGCUAUUUCCAGUAAUAUAGAUUUCCCUCGAUCCUGAUGGAAAAACACGGCGAGAGGUUUUCUCAGAGAGGUAUGCGGAACACACAGCAGAGGAGAAUUACGAAGGAGGAAAGUUUACAGUAUCUACACAGACUGAGGAAACAGCAGAGGCUUGAAAGAGCCGCCCGGGGCUCAGCAUUAAACAUGAAGAUAACGGUUGUGUUAGUUUAAUUUUGAAACCAAGAAUCUUAAUUUGUUGUUUGAUGACGCAGCCACGGCUUUGGAUUUGCACUCCACGCUGAGAACACAGACCAGGACUGCAGCUGAAUUGAUUUUCAUGGCGUUAAAUCAACUCAGUCUUUCAAACACUGUAACCUCCCUGCGCUUCACCGCUGUGACAUGACAGCGACUGGAGUAGACGUCUGACUGUACAGCUGUUGGUGUAAAUUAAAACAUCUUGAAUCAGGGAUUUAAUUACCUCAACGCAACACCAACAACACUAAGUCCAUCUUAAGCAUGUACAAUAUUUACAUGUAACAGGAGGGAUUUCUAUGCAUUAAACAUACUGGGUUAUAAAUCCACAAGAGAUUACAUACAGAUACACAAAAUACACAAAAGAUUUUAUUCAGAAUUUCCUUUCAUAUUGUGUUUUUCAUACAAACAUUGUUGAUACAAAACGUGUAUUGGAGGCAGGACAUGAGGACUGAAACAUGUGACUACGCAUUUACAAUUCAGUUCAGUCUGUUAUAUUGUAAACUGCAGAUCUAUUUUUAACAACAAUGGAAGAUUCAGACAGAUGAGUUUCAUAGUAACAAGGCCAACUGUCUGCGUUUCAGCCUGACUCUUUUCCAAAUGGAGGAAAUCAUCAAUAAACAUGAAUGAUUUUU